GGCCCAGUGGCAUACUGGAUAAGGCACCAGCCUUUGGAGCUGGGGAUUGUGGGUUCGAGUCCCACCUUGGUCA
Sinocyclocheilus anshuiensis is the source of this 73-nucleotide non-coding RNA. Lineage: Eukaryota; Metazoa; Chordata; Actinopteri; Cypriniformes; Cyprinidae. The record is from the annotation of a RefSeq genome assembly.